UACGUAGGGUGCAAGCGUUUAUCCGGAAUUAUUGGGCGUAAAGAGCUCGUAGGCGGUUUGUCGCCGGUCUGCUGUGAAAACUGGAGGCUCAACCUCCAGCCUGCAGUGGGUACGGGGCAGACUAGAGUGCGGUAGGGGAGAUUGGAAUUCCUGGUGUAGCGGUGAAAUGCGCAGAUAUCAGGAGGAACACCGGUGGCGAAGGCGGGUCUCUGGGCCGUAACUGGACGCUGAGGAGCGAAAGCGUGGGGAGCGAACAGG
Molecule: ribosomal RNA, 258 nt
Filed under: uncultured bacterium
Lineage: Bacteria
Description: partial 16S ribosomal RNA
Rfam family: Bacterial small subunit ribosomal RNA
Source: RNAcentral